RNAcentral lists this ribosomal RNA (465 nucleotides) under Bacillus sp. BT-B158. Its description in RNAcentral is "bacterial SSU rRNA". It matches the Rfam family "Bacterial small subunit ribosomal RNA", at positions 43 to 488 of the family's 1533-position model. The record is from RNAcentral. Lineage: Bacteria; Bacillati; Bacillota; Bacilli; Caryophanales; Bacillaceae.
CAGGCCUAACACAUGCAAGUCGAGCGAAUGGAUUGAGAGCUUGCUCUCAUGAAGUUAGCGGCGGACGGGUGAGUAACACGUGGGUAACCUGCCCAUAAGACUGGGAUAACUCCGGGAAACCGGGGCUAAUACCGGAUAACAUUUUGAACUGCAUGGUUCGAAAUUGAAAGGCGGCUUCGGCUGUCACUUAUGGAUGGACCCGCGUCGCAUUAGCUAGUUGGUGAGGUAACGGCUCACCAAGGCAACGAUGCGUAGCCGACCUGAGAGGGUGAUCGGCCACACUGGGACUGAGACACGGCCCAGACUCCUACGGGAGGCAGCAGUAGGGAAUCUUCCGCAAUGGACGAAAGUCUGACGGAGCAACGCCGCGUGAGUGAUGAAGGCUUUCGGGUCGUAAAACUCUGUUGUUAGGGAAGAACAAGUGCUAGUUGAAUAAGCUGGCACCUUGACGGUACCUAACCAGAU